UACGUAGGGUGCGAGCGUUGUCCGGAAUUAUUGGGCAUAAAGGGCUCGUAGGCGGCUUGUCGCGUCUGCUGUGAAAGCCCGGGGCUUAACUCCGGGUCUGCAGUGGAUACGGGCAGGCUAGAGUCCGGUAGGGGAGACUGGAAUUCCUGGUGUAGCGGUGGAAUGCGCAGAUAUCAGGAGGAACACCGGUGGCGAAGGCGGGUCUCUGGGCCGGUACUGACGCUGAGGAGCGAAAGCGUGGGGAGCGAACAGG
RNAcentral lists this ribosomal RNA (253 nucleotides) under uncultured bacterium. Its description in RNAcentral is "partial 16S ribosomal RNA". It matches the Rfam family "Bacterial small subunit ribosomal RNA", at positions 524 to 776 of the family's 1533-position model. The record is from RNAcentral.